UCCCAGGUGGCUCAGUGGUAAAGAAUCUGCCUGCCAUGCAGGAGACACAGGUUCUAUUCCUAUGUUGGCAA
This 71-nucleotide transfer RNA is filed under the name Bos taurus (domestic cattle). It matches the Rfam family "tRNA". Rfam says of the family: Transfer RNA (tRNA) molecules are approximately 80 nucleotides in length. RNAcentral also lists the same sequence under 2 other names. The record is from Rfam by way of RNAcentral. Lineage: Eukaryota; Metazoa; Chordata; Mammalia; Artiodactyla; Bovidae.